UGCAGAUUUGAUUUGUCAGCUCGCGUUUCAUUGGUAGACUCAAUGUGGGUCAUGCAAAAACGUCCGCGCUUCCCCAGUUGGACUGUAGCGUCGUUUUCAAGCGGGAUCGGUCCCCGAUAGCUACAGGCGAAAGGUACUGUAACAAAGGAAAAGUGAACACAGCUCACAGUCAGUUUCAUAAUGGCAGCUACAAAAGGAAAGGGCAAAAAGGCCAAUGCUGCUGCAGCUGCUGCACCUGCAGCAGAGACACCUGCUGGGGAUGCAGAAGAUACCCCCAAGACAGAGGAGCCCAAGAAAGGUUCUCCAAAGAAGAGAGCAGGAGGAGUGAAGAAGGCCACUAAAAAAGGUGCCAAGAAAGGUGCAAAGAAGGCAGCAGCCAAGAAGAAGUGAGGCCAAGUUACAGACAGUCGUUUUUUUAAUGUUAUCAUCAAGGUUUUUUUUUGUUUUUUUUUUUUAGUAUCACUUGGACAAAUUUAGAUCCUGGGAAAUAACCAUAUUGUGUGUUCCAAUGCACCAUCUCAUUUUAUGGUUUCAUUUCAACAUGGUUGAUACCAUCAUAAUUUAUGCAUCUUGUUUUCACCCUUUCUUUCCUGUUUAUUUUUUAACUGUUUUCCUCUCUUGUCUGAAGGGAAAAAUACUCCAAAUUGAGAGUUAGUCAGGAUGUUACUGUCACUGUAGAAAGUCUGUUAUAUACAUUUCAUCAUUAAAGAAUAUCUCGGGGACGUU
Long non-coding RNA from Pomacea canaliculata, 726 nucleotides. RefSeq lists it as uncharacterized. The record is from RefSeq and is a predicted model, not a curated record. The transcript is spliced from 4 exons. Lineage: Eukaryota; Metazoa; Mollusca; Gastropoda; Architaenioglossa; Ampullariidae.